AGCGAACGCUGGCGGCAGGCUUAACACAUGCAAGUCGAGCGGGCAUCUUCGGAUGUCAGCGGCAGACGGGUGCGUAACACGUGGGAACGUACCCUUCGGUUCGGAACAACUCUGGGAAACUGGAGCUAAUACCGGAUACGCCCUUAUGGGGAAAGGUUUACUGCCGAAGGAUCGGCCCGCGUCUGAUUCGCUUGUUGGUGGGGUAACGGCCUACCAAGGCGACGAUCAGUAGCUGGUCUGAGAGGAUGAUCAGCCACACUGGGACUGAGACACGGCCCAGACUCCUACGGGAGGCAGCGGUGGGGAAUAUUGGACAAUGGGCGCAAGCCUGAUCCAGCCAUGCCGCGUAAGUGAUGAAGGCCUUAGGGUUGUAAAGCUCUUUUGUCCGGGACGAUAAUGACGGUACCGAAAGAAUAAGCCCCGGCUAACUUCGUG
Molecule: ribosomal RNA, 435 nt
Filed under: uncultured bacterium
Lineage: Bacteria
Description: partial 16S ribosomal RNA
Rfam family: Bacterial small subunit ribosomal RNA
Source: RNAcentral